Lactuca sativa (garden lettuce) is the source of this 105-nucleotide small nucleolar RNA. NCBI's taxonomy places the organism in Eukaryota, Viridiplantae, Streptophyta, Magnoliopsida, Asterales, Asteraceae. The record is from RefSeq and is a predicted model, not a curated record.
AGAUUGUUUGGGGGCAAUUUCGAAGUAAUCCAUUGUAACGCUCCCAUGCUUCAUAAAGUGACUCACCUGGUUGUUAUUCAAAGUUAGCUAUCGCCUUUUGAGUUU